GUUAUAGUAGUUCAACAAGAACAAUGGUCUUGUAAACCAGAAAUGAGAUGAAAUGUCUCCUAAAACC
Molecule: transfer RNA, 67 nt
Filed under: Neurobasis chinensis
Lineage: Eukaryota; Metazoa; Arthropoda; Insecta; Odonata; Calopterygidae
Description: tRNA-Thr
Rfam family: tRNA
About the family: Transfer RNA (tRNA) molecules are approximately 80 nucleotides in length.
Source: RNAcentral